CAGUUCGGAUUGAAGGCUGAAAUUCGCCUUCAUGAAGCUGGAAUUGCUGUAAUGGCAGGUCAGCAUACUGCCGUGAAUACGUUCCCGGGCCUUGUACACACCGCCCGUCACACCAUGAGAGUUGGGAAUACCCGAAGCCUGUGAGCUAACUGUAAGGAGGCAGCAGUCGAAGGUAGAAUCAAUGAUUGGGGUGAAGUCGUAACAAGGUACC
This 211-nucleotide ribosomal RNA is filed under the name uncultured bacterium. RNAcentral's name for it is "partial 16S ribosomal RNA". It matches the Rfam family "Bacterial small subunit ribosomal RNA", at positions 1289 to 1500 of the family's 1533-position model. The record is from RNAcentral.